AGAGUUUGAUCCUGGCUCAGAUUGAACGCUGGCGGCAUGCCUAACACAUGCAAGUCGAACGCGAAAGGGCUUCGGCCUGAGUAGAGUGGCGGACGGGUGAGUAACGCGUGGGAAUCUGCCCUGCAGUGGGGGACAACCCGGGGAAACUCGGGCUAAUACCGCAUACGUCCUACGGGGGAAAGGGGGCCUUUGGGCUCUCGCUGCAGGAUGAGCCCGCGUCCGAUUAGCUAGUUGGUAGGGUAAUGGCCUACCAAGGCGACGAUCGGUAGCUGGUCUGAGAGGAUGAGCAGCCACACUGGGACUGAGACACGGCCCAGACUCCUACGGGAGGCAGCAGUGGGGAAUUUUCCGCAAUGGGCGAAAGCCUGACGGAGCAAUACCGCGUGAGGGAGGAAGGUUCAAGUAAUUGUAAACCUCUUUUAUCAGGGAAGAAAAAAAUGACGUACCUGAAGAA
This 454-nucleotide ribosomal RNA is filed under the name uncultured bacterium. Its description in RNAcentral is "bacterial SSU rRNA". It matches the Rfam family "Bacterial small subunit ribosomal RNA", at positions 8 to 486 of the family's 1533-position model. The record is from RNAcentral.